RNAcentral lists this ribosomal RNA (460 nucleotides) under uncultured bacterium. RNAcentral describes it as "partial 16S ribosomal RNA". It matches the Rfam family "Bacterial small subunit ribosomal RNA", at positions 338 to 795 of the family's 1533-position model. The record is from RNAcentral.
CCUACGGGUGGCAGCAGUGAGGAAUAUUGGUCAAUGGACGAGAGUCUGAACCAGCCAAGUAGCGUGCAGGAUGACUGCCCUAUGGGUUGUAAACUUCUUUUAUACAGGAAUAAAACGAGGCACGUGUGCCUUUUUGCAUGUACUUUAUGAAUAAGGAUCGGCUAACUCCGUGCCAGCAGCCGCGGUAAUACGGAGGAUCCGGGCGUUAUCCGGAUUUAUUGGGUUUAAAGGGAGCGUAGAUGGGGUGUUAAGUCAGUUGUGAAAGGUUGCGGCUCAACCGUAAAAUUGCAAUUGAUACUGGCAGUCUUGAGUACAGUGGAGGUAGGCGGAAUUCGUGGUGUAGCGGUGAAAUGCUUAGAUAUCACGAAGAACCCCGAUUGCGAAGGCAGCUUACGAAACUGUGACUGACAUUGAUGCUCGAAAGUGUGGGUAUCAAACAGGAUUAGAUACCCCAGUAGUC